This 1169-nucleotide long non-coding RNA is filed under the name Gallus gallus (chicken). Its description in RNAcentral is "lncRNA (ENSGALG00010018692.1)". The record is from RNAcentral. Lineage: Eukaryota; Metazoa; Chordata; Aves; Galliformes; Phasianidae.
GAAUCAUUACAGAGACUCAGCCAAAGCCCUGUAAUUAAUUAGUUAGAAAAGCAUCUCGGUGUUAUUAGAGAGGCCUCAGCAGAGGAAGUGACACCUCCGUUCUUGCAGACUCACCUUCCGCCAGAGCUGCUGCUGCGAUGUUUGACAUUGGGCUGGUGCAAACAGAACCUGGAAGUCGGUGCAGUAGGGAGAGGAGCAGCUUGCAGGCUCUGCCCUUGGCCAGCGCUGUACUGCAUGCCGGGAGGGCUCCGUGCAGACAUCAGAUCCUGGAAAUGGCUCAGGCCACUGAUACUGUGGAUGCAUGAAACGACUUGACUAAAGAUCUGGAAAAGUUUUUCCGACUCCCAGCUAAGCCUUGCAAUGCCUCCGUGCAGUCAGUAACAAACCGUCUCCACUGCAAGGAGGAGAGCACAUGGAGCGAAUGGAAAAAGAGGGUAAGAUUGCCACUUGUGGCAAAGGGAGGGCAGAGGCAAAAAAGGGACCCCACGUGUCAUCUUCCCAGCAAGAGGUGCUGACCCCUGGAAAGCAGUACCUAAAGGGGGGCUGUAAGAAAGAAGGGGAUGGGCUUUUUUAGCAGGGUCUGAUGUGACAGGACAAGGGAAAUGGUUUCAAACUAUAAGAGGGGAGAUUAAGACUGGAUAUAAGGAAGAAGUUUUCUACACUGAGGGGUAGUGAGGCACUGGCACAGGUUGCCCAGAGAGGUGGUGGUGCCUCGUCCCUGGAGACACCCAAGGUCAGGCUGGACGGGGCUCUGAGCACCUGAUGGAGCUGUAGGUGCCCCUGUUCAGUACAAGGGGUUGGGCCAGAUGGCCUUUAAGGGUACCUUCCAACUCAAACGGUUCCAUGGAUCUGAAAUGUAAAGGUAAUGCCACCCUGGGGCUUCUGGUUCCUUCCUUAUUUUCUAAAGGAUCAUAUAGUCAUGAUGAGAAAUGUGGACAAGCAGUAGACCAGAAAGAAAGUUUGAGCUGAGAGCUUUCAAUACCAGUGAUCGCUUCACGGGUAGUUGCCUAUACCCAUAACAUGAAGCCAAAAGAAUCAUAUCACAGAAUCACAGAAUGGCUUAGGUUGGAAGAGACCUCAAAGAUCACCGAGCUCCAACCCCUUGCCACAGAAUGGCUCGGAGACCAGGAACACACAGCCAAGAGAAAAGCCCAGUGGGCAUAAGCAGC